This 118-nucleotide small RNA is filed under the name chicken gut metagenome. RNAcentral describes it as "ydaO/yuaA leader". It matches the Rfam family "c-di-AMP riboswitch aptamer (ydaO/yuaA leader)", at positions 23 to 130 of the family's 134-position model. From Rfam's summary of the family: This family represents a conserved RNA structure found upstream of the ydaO and yuaA genes in Bacillus subtilis and related genes in other bacteria. The record is from RNAcentral.
GGCGAGGGCGGAGGAACCACCUUCGAUCCGCGAGGAUCUUGGGGUGAAGCCUCGACUACGAGGCAAAGUGUUCUCCCACUUGAACCCGACAGCUCACUUCGCAGGCGAAACUAGGAGA